This 240-nucleotide long non-coding RNA is filed under the name Panax ginseng (ginseng). RNAcentral describes it as "long non-coding RNA (PGIN_LNC009869)". Lineage: Eukaryota; Viridiplantae; Streptophyta; Magnoliopsida; Apiales; Araliaceae. The record is from RNAcentral.
GAAAAUCUCCUCUUCGAUCUAUUAUAUGCCAAGUUCGAGGGUUUAUAGAUUGUAUGGCGUUCUUGCAAGAUUAGUAGGGGUUGAUCGUGUGUGGCCUAGAUUUUAGGAGUUAUGGUUUGAGCUGGGGAUCGAGUUAGGGUUCUUGUUCGAGGCUUUGGAUUUGUUCUGGUGAUGGUUUGACAUAUAGAUCUGCUCCAGAUCUGAUAAAUUGUGUGCAUAUUAGUUAUUUUUCCAUUAUCA